RNAcentral lists this ribosomal RNA (354 nucleotides) under uncultured Desulfobulbus sp. RNAcentral describes it as "bacterial SSU rRNA". It matches the Rfam family "Bacterial small subunit ribosomal RNA", at positions 1027 to 1382 of the family's 1533-position model. The record is from RNAcentral. Lineage: Bacteria; Pseudomonadati; Thermodesulfobacteriota; Desulfobulbia; Desulfobulbales; Desulfobulbaceae.
UCUGGAGACAGGUGCUGCAUGGCUGUCGUCAGCUCGUGUCGUGAGAUGUUGGGUUAAGUCCCGCAACGAGCGCAACCCUUGCCUUUAGUUGCCAGCAGUUCGGCUGGGCACUCUAAAGGGACUGCCGGUGUUAAACCGGAGGAAGUGGGGAUGACGUCAAGUCCUCAUGGCCUUUAUGACCAGGGCUACACACGUACUACAAUGGCCGAUACAAAGGGCAGCGACACUGCGAGGUGAAGCCAAUCCCGUAAAAUCGGUCUCAGUCCGGAUUGGAGUCUGCAACUCGACUCCAUGAAGUUGGAAUCGCUAGUAAUCGUGGAUCAGCAUGCCACGGUGAAUACGUUCCCGGGCCUU